UACGUAGGGUGCGAGCGUUAAUCGGAAUUACUGGGCGUAAAGCGUGCGCAGGCGGUUUUGUAAGCCAGAUGUGAAAGCCCCGGGCUUAACCUGGGAAUGGCAUUUGGGACUGCAAGGCUUGAGUGCGGCAGAGGAGACUGGAAUUCCUGGUGUAGCAGUGAAAUGCGUAGAUAUCAGGAGGAAUACCGAUGGCGAAGGCAGGUCUCUGGGCCGUAACUGACGCUGAGGAGCGAAAGCAUGGGGAGCGAACAAG
RNAcentral lists this ribosomal RNA (253 nucleotides) under uncultured bacterium. Its description in RNAcentral is "partial 16S ribosomal RNA". It matches the Rfam family "Bacterial small subunit ribosomal RNA", at positions 524 to 776 of the family's 1533-position model. The record is from RNAcentral.